CGUACCUUUUGUAUAAUGGGUCAGCGACUUACAUUUAGUAGCAAGCUUAACUUUAAUAAGGUAGGCGAAGGGAAACCGAGUCUUAAUAGGGCGUUUAGUUUCUAGGUGUAGACCCGAAACCGAGUGAUCUAUCCAUGGCCAGAGUGAAGGUGGGGUAAUUCCUACUGGAGGCUCGAACCCACUUAUGUUGAAAAAUGAGGGGAUGAGCUG
RNAcentral lists this ribosomal RNA (210 nucleotides) under Oxyrrhis marina. RNAcentral describes it as "partial Bacterial large subunit ribosomal RNA". It matches the Rfam family "Bacterial large subunit ribosomal RNA", at positions 600 to 811 of the family's 2925-position model. Lineage: Eukaryota; Dinophyceae; Oxyrrhinales; Oxyrrhinaceae. The record is from RNAcentral.